Molecule: ribosomal RNA, 391 nt
Filed under: uncultured Streptomyces sp.
Lineage: Bacteria; Bacillati; Actinomycetota; Actinomycetes; Kitasatosporales; Streptomycetaceae
Description: bacterial SSU rRNA
Rfam family: Bacterial small subunit ribosomal RNA
Source: RNAcentral
UCGACGAUUCGGUGUGUACAAGGCCCGGGAACGGCCAGAGAUGGUCGCCCCCUUGUGGUCGGUAUACAGGUGGUGCAUGGCUGUCGUCAGCUCGUGUCGUGAGAUGUUGGGUUAAGUCCCGCAACGAGCGCAACCCUUGUUCUGUGUUGCCAGCAUGCCUUUCGGGGUGAUGGGGACUCACAGGAGACUGCCGGGGUCAACUCGGAGGAAGGUGGGGACGACGUCAAGUCAUCAUGCCCCUUAUGUCUUGGGCUGCACACGUGCUACAAUGGCAGGUACAAUGAGCUGCGAAGCCGUGAGGCGGAGCGAAUCUCAAAAAGCCUGUCUCCGUUCGGAUUGGGGUCUGCAACUCGACCCCAUGAAGUCGGAGUUGCUAGUAAUCGCAGAUCAG